Molecule: ribosomal RNA, 497 nt
Filed under: uncultured bacterium
Lineage: Bacteria
Description: partial 16S ribosomal RNA
Rfam family: Bacterial small subunit ribosomal RNA
Source: RNAcentral
GAUGAACGCUGGCGGCGUGCCUAAUACAUGCAAGUCGAGCGAACAGACGAGGAGCUUGCUCCUCUGACGUUAGCGGCGGACGGGUGAGUAACACGUGGAUAACCUACCUAUAAGACUGGGAUAACUUCGGGAAACCGGCGCUAAUACCGGAUAAUAUAUUGAACCGCAUGGUUCAAUAGUGAAAGACGGUUUUGCUGUCACUUAUAGAUGGAUCCGCGCCGCAUUAGCUAGUUGGUAAGGUAACGGCUUACCAAGGCAACGAUGCGUAGCCGACCUGAGAGGGUGAUCGGCCACACUGGAACUGAGACACGGUCCAGACGCCUACGGGAGGCAGCAGUAGGGAAUCGGCCGCAAUGGGCGAAAGCCUGACGGAGCAACGCCGCGUGAGUGAUGAAGGUCUUCGGAUCGUAAAACUCUGUUAUUAGGGAAGAACAAAUGUGUAAGUAACUAUGCACGUCUUGACGGUACCUAAUCAGAAAGCCACGGCUAACUACGUG